GCGCCCGUAGCUCAGUAGGAUAGAGCAUCGGUUUCCUAAACCGAGUGUCAGGGGUUCGAAUCCCUUCGGGCGCACCA
RNAcentral lists this transfer RNA (77 nucleotides) under Syntrophomonadaceae bacterium. RNAcentral describes it as "tRNA-Arg". It matches the Rfam family "tRNA". Rfam says of the family: Transfer RNA (tRNA) molecules are approximately 80 nucleotides in length. Their secondary structure includes four short double-helical elements and three loops (D, anti-codon, and T loops). Further hydrogen bonds mediate the characteristic L-shaped molecular structure. tRNAs have two regions of fundamental functional importance: the anti-codon, which is responsible for specific mRNA codon recognition, and the 3' end, to which the tRNAs corresponding amino acid is attached (by aminoacyl-tRNA synthetases). tRNAs cope with the degeneracy of the genetic code in two manners: having more than one tRNA (with a specific anti-codon) for a particular amino acid; and 'wobble' base-pairing, i.e. permitting non-standard base-pairing at the 3rd anti-codon position. Lineage: Bacteria; Bacillati; Bacillota; Clostridia; Eubacteriales; Syntrophomonadaceae. The record is from RNAcentral.